This 451-nucleotide ribosomal RNA is filed under the name uncultured bacterium. Its description in RNAcentral is "bacterial SSU rRNA". It matches the Rfam family "Bacterial small subunit ribosomal RNA", at positions 42 to 469 of the family's 1533-position model. The record is from RNAcentral.
GCGUGCCUAAUACAUGCAAGUCGAACGCUUUUUCUUUCACCGGAGCUUGCUCCACCGAAAGAAAAAGAGUGGCGAACGGGUGAGUAACACGUGGGUAACCUGCCCAUCAGAAGGGGAUAACACUUGGAAACAGGUGCUAAUACCGUAUAACACUAUUUUCCGCAUGGAAGAAAGUUGAAAGGCGCUUUUGCGUCACUGAUGGAUGGACCCGCGGUGCAUUAGCUAGUUGGUGAGGUAACGGCUCACCAAGGCCACGAUGCAUAGCCGACCUGAGAGGGUGAUCGGCCACACUGGGACUGAGACACGGCCCAGACUCCUACGGGAGGCAGCAGUAGGGAAUCUUCGGCAAUGGACGAAAGUCUGACCGAGCAACGCCGCGUGAGUGAAGAAGGUUUUCGGAUCGUAAAACUCUGUUGUUAGAGAAGAACAAGGAUGAGAGUAGAACGUUCAU